This 328-nucleotide long non-coding RNA is filed under the name Phoenix dactylifera (date palm). RNAcentral's name for it is "long non-coding RNA (PDAC_LNC011747)". Lineage: Eukaryota; Viridiplantae; Streptophyta; Magnoliopsida; Arecales; Arecaceae. The record is from RNAcentral.
CUUGUAAUAUGACCUAAUUAGAAUCCAUGAUCAUCACCUAUUUAAAGUUUAGCUUUAAUUAUUGCUGCGAUUAUAACUGCCUGCAAUGUAUCAUUUGCAUGUGAUGCGAAUGUGAGUGGGGUAGAUAGGUUUACAUGUGAUGCAAACUAAUAGACCAAUUCAAAUGAGACCUAAACUAAAACCUCCUCAAUCAAGUUGAGAGUGAACCAACAUGAGCGAGUCAUAUUAGAUUAAUUGAUCUAAUUGGUGUCUAGGAAAGCAUGAAAGGUGGUUACUUAAUUAGGACCUUACUCUCUGAGUAAGGAGAGCCUCCCACCUGCUUACCUAG